AUAUCAAUAAAUUAAUAAGGUUAAAUUGGAAGUUCGGUGAAAAUCCGGCGCGGUCCCGCCACUGUAAUGGGGAGAUUAUUUUCUUAUAAUGCCACUGGAGAAUCAAACUCUGGGAAGGCAAAAAUAAUCUAUGAACCUAAGCCAGGACACAUGCCUAAUUUAGUUUACCUUU
This 172-nucleotide non-coding RNA is filed under the name Natranaerobius thermophilus. Lineage: Bacteria; Bacillati; Bacillota; Clostridia; Natranaerobiales; Natranaerobiaceae. The record is from RNAcentral. RNAcentral also lists the same sequence under 1 other name.